Molecule: ribosomal RNA, 474 nt
Filed under: uncultured bacterium
Lineage: Bacteria
Description: bacterial SSU rRNA
Rfam family: Bacterial small subunit ribosomal RNA
Source: RNAcentral
ACUCCUACGGGAGGCAGCAGUGGGGAAUAUUGCACAAUGGGGGAAACCCUGAUGCAGCCAUGCCGCGUGUGUGAAGAAGGCCUUCGGGUUGUAAAGCACUUUCAGUAGGGAGGAAGGUAGUGUAGUUAACACCUGCAUUAUUUGACGUUACCUACAGAAGAAGCACCGGCUAACUCCGUGCCAGCAGCCGCGGUAAUACGGAGGGUGCGAGCGUUAAUCGGAAUUACUGGGCGUAAAGCGCAUGCAGGCGGCCUGUUAAGUCAGAUGUGAAAGCCCGGGGCUUAAACCUCGGAAUUGCAUUUGAAACUGGCAGGCUAGAGUCUUGUAGAGGGGGGUAGAAUUUCAGGUGUAGCGGUGAAAUGCGUAGAGAUCUGAAGGAAUACCAGUGGCGAAGGCGGCCCCCUGGACAAAGACUGACGCUCAGAUGCGAAAGCGUGGGGAGCAAACAGGAUUAGAUACCCUGGUAGCACAGAG